CGCCUUGCCAGCCCGCUCAGAACUCAAAGGAAUUGAGGGGGCCCGCACAAGCGGUGGAGCAUGUGGUUUAAUUCGAUGAUACGCGAGGAACCUUACCUGGGCUCAAAUGUAUGUUGACGUAUUCUGAAAGGGAUACUUCUUCGGACAAUAUACAAGGUGCUGCAUGGUUGUCGUCAGCUCGUGCCGUGAGGUGUCGGGUUAAGUCCCAUAACGAGCGCAACCCCUACCUUUAGUUGCCAUCAGGUUAAGCUGGGGACUCUAAAGGAACUGCCUACGCAAGUAGUGAGGAAGGCGGGGAUGACGUCAAAUCAGCACGGCCCUUACGUCCAGGGCUACACACGUGCUACAAUGGCCGAUACAGAGGGCAGCUACCUGGUGACAGGAUGCAAAUCUCCAAAGUCGGUCUCAGUUCGGAUCGGAGUCUGCAACCCGACUCCGUGAAGUUGGAUUCGCUAGUAAUCGCGCAUCAGCCAUGGCGCGGUGAAUACGUUCCCGGGCCUU
Molecule: ribosomal RNA, 501 nt
Filed under: uncultured Sphingobacteriales bacterium
Lineage: Bacteria; Pseudomonadati; Bacteroidota; Sphingobacteriia; Sphingobacteriales
Description: bacterial SSU rRNA
Rfam family: Bacterial small subunit ribosomal RNA
Source: RNAcentral